Molecule: ribosomal RNA, 750 nt
Filed under: uncultured Clostridium sp.
Lineage: Bacteria; Bacillati; Bacillota; Clostridia; Eubacteriales; Clostridiaceae
Description: bacterial SSU rRNA
Rfam family: Bacterial small subunit ribosomal RNA
Source: RNAcentral
GAUGAACGCUGGCGGCGUGCCUAAUACAUGCAAGUCGAACGCUUCGAUUUAUCGAAGAGUGGCGAACGGGUGAGUAAUACAUAAGUAACCUGCCUUUAACAGGGGGAUAACUACUAGAAAUGGUAGCUAAGACCGCAUAGGUGGAUUGAUCGCAUGAUCGAUUCAUUAAAAGACCUUUCAAGGUCUGGAUAAGGAUGGACUUAUGUCGCAUUAGCUAGUUGGUAAGGUAACGGCUUACCAAGGCGACGAUGCGUAGCCGGCCUGAGAGGGUGAACGGCCACAUUGGGACUGAGACACGGCCCAAACUCCUACGGGAGGCAGCAGUAGGGAAUUUUCGGCAAUGGGGGAAACCCUGACCGAGCAACGCCGCGUGAAGGAAGAAGGAAUUCGUUUCGUAAACUUCUGUUAUAAAGGAAGAAAGAUGAUAUCAGGAAAUGGAUGUCAAGUGACGGUACUUUAUGAGAAAGCCACGGCUAACUACGUGCCAGCAGCCGCGGUAAUACGUAGGUGGCAAGCGUUAUCCGGAAUUAUUGGGCGUAAAGAGGGAGCAGGCGGUAACAAAGGUCUGUGGUGAAAGCCUGAAGCUUAACUUCAGUAAGCCAUAGAAACCAGGUAACUAGAGUGCAAGAGAGGAUCGUGGAAUUCCAUGUGUAGCGGUGAAAUGCGUAGAUAUAUGGAGGAACACCAGUGGCGAAGGCGACGAUCUGGCUUGUAACUGACGCUGAGUCCCGAAAGCGUGGGGAGCAAAUA